This 640-nucleotide ribosomal RNA is filed under the name Tolypothrix sp. HSN034. RNAcentral's name for it is "bacterial SSU rRNA". It matches the Rfam family "Bacterial small subunit ribosomal RNA", at positions 114 to 786 of the family's 1533-position model. Lineage: Bacteria; Bacillati; Cyanobacteriota; Cyanophyceae; Nostocales; Tolypothrichaceae. The record is from RNAcentral.
AACGNGUAGAAUCUGCCUUCAGGUUCGGGACAACCACUGGAAACGGUGGCUAAUACCGAAUGUGCAGCAAUGUGAAAAAUUUAUUGCCUGAAGAUGAGCUCGCGUCUGAUUAGCUAGUAGGUGUGGUAAGAGCGCACCUAGGCGACGAUCAGUAGCUGGUCUGAGAGGAUGAUCAGCCACACUGGGACUGAGACACGGCCCAGACUCCUACGGGAGGCAGCAGUGGGGAAUUUUCCGCAAUGGGCGAAAGCCUGACGGAGCAAUACCGCGUGAGGGAGGAAGGCUCUUGGGUUGUAAACCUCUUUUCUCAAGGAAGAAAAAAAUGACGGUACUUGAGGAAUAAGCAUCGGCUAACUCCGUGCCAGCAGCCGCGGUAAUACGGAGGAUGCAAGCGUUAUCCGGAAUGAUUGGGCGUAAAGCGUCCGCAGGUGGCUAUGUAAGUCUGCUGUUAAAGAGUCUGGCUCAACCAGAUAAAGGCAGUGGAAACUACAUGGCUAGAGUGCGUUCGGGGCAGAGGGAAUUCCUGGUGUAGCGGUGAAAUGCGUAGAGAUCANGAAGAACACCGGUGGCGAAAGCGCUCUGCUAGGCCGCAACUGACACUGAGGGACGAAAGCUAGGGGAGCGAAAGGGAUUANAUACC